AUACGAAAGGGGCAAGCGUUGUUCGGAAUUACUGGGCGUAAAGCGCACGUAGGCGGCAUUGUAAGUUGAGGGUGAAAUCCCGGCGCUCAACUCCGGAACUGCCUCCAAAACUACAAAGCUAGAGGAUGUGAGAGGAUAGUGGAAUUCCGAGUGUAGAGGUGAAAUUCGUAGAUAUUCGGAAGAACACCAGUGGCGAAGGCGACUGUCUGGCACAUUUCUGACGCUGAGGUGCGAAAGCGUGGGGAGCAAACAGGAUUAGAAACCCCAGUAGUCC
This 274-nucleotide ribosomal RNA is filed under the name uncultured bacterium. Its description in RNAcentral is "partial 16S ribosomal RNA". It matches the Rfam family "Bacterial small subunit ribosomal RNA", at positions 523 to 796 of the family's 1533-position model. The record is from RNAcentral.